RNAcentral lists this non-coding RNA (32 nucleotides) under Dinophysis acuminata. Lineage: Eukaryota; Dinophyceae; Dinophysales; Dinophysaceae. The record is from RNAcentral.
GCCACAAGCCCGUGUUCAUCGACUCUGACAAC